This 775-nucleotide ribosomal RNA is filed under the name uncultured Neocallimastigales. Its description in RNAcentral is "partial large subunit ribosomal RNA". It matches the Rfam family "Eukaryotic large subunit ribosomal RNA", at positions 24 to 649 of the family's 3401-position model. The record is from RNAcentral. Lineage: Eukaryota; Fungi; Neocallimastigomycota; Neocallimastigomycetes; Neocallimastigales.
UAUCUCUGUAGAGUCUGCAUAUCAAUAAGCGGAGGAAAAGAAACUAACAAGGAUUCCCUUAGUAACGGCGAGUGAAGCGGGAAGAGCUCAAAUUUGAAAUCUUCAAGGUUUUACCUUGACGAAUUGUAGUUUAAAGAAGUGUUUUCUGUUGGAGUUUUGGUAAAAGUUCUUUGGAAUAGGACAUCAUAGAGGGUGAGAAUCCCGUAUUUGACCAUUAUUUCCAGCUGUGUGAUACACUUUCAAAGAGUCGGAUUGUUUGGGAAUGCAGUCCAAAAUGGGUGGUAAAUUUCAUCUAAAGCUAAAUAUUGGCGAGAGACCGAUAGCGAACAAGUACCGUGAGGGAAAGAUGAAAAGAACUUUGAAAAGAGAGUUAAACAGUACGUGAAAUUGUCAAAAGGGAAGCGUUUGACACCAGUGUUGUUUUCUCGAAAAUCAAUUAAAAAUGAUGGGAUUUUGUGUUGUAUUGACUUUAUCAGCUUUCUGCACUUUUUUCUUAUCUUUUUUAAUGCACUUUUCGUUUAACAAGUCAACAUCAAUUUCUUUUGUUGUAAAAGAGGUCAUUGGAAGGUGGCUUUCUUUUCGGAGAAAGUGUUUAUAGCCUUUGACUUCUGCAAUCGGAGAGAUUGAGGUCUGCAGCGUAGAUCCUUCGGGGUUAGAUACAUUUGUGCUAAGCUAUAGCCUUUCAUAGACAACUUGUUGACUAUGAUCAGUCAUGUAGCUUACUCGCUUAUGCUAUUUUACCUACGCUUAGGAUGUUGAGUAGCGACAUACGCAC